UACGGGGGGCGCGAGCGUUGUUCGGAAUCAUUGGGCGUAAAGAGCGUGUAGGCGGCUGGAUAAGUCAGAUGUGAAAGCCCUGGGCUUAACCCAGGAAGUGCAUUUGAAACUGUUCAGCUGGAGUAAGGGAGAGGAAAGUGGAAUUCCUGGUGUAGAGGUGAAAUUCGUAGAUAUCAGGAGGAACACCGAUGGCGAAGGCGACUUUCUGGCCCUAUACUGAUGCUGAGACGCGAAAGCGUGGGUAGCAAACAGG
Molecule: ribosomal RNA, 253 nt
Filed under: uncultured Smithella sp.
Lineage: Bacteria; Pseudomonadati; Thermodesulfobacteriota; Syntrophia; Syntrophales; Smithellaceae
Description: partial 16S ribosomal RNA
Rfam family: Bacterial small subunit ribosomal RNA
Source: RNAcentral